This 78-nucleotide small nuclear RNA is filed under the name Homo sapiens (human). RNAcentral's name for it is "partial ncRNA". The record is from RNAcentral. Lineage: Eukaryota; Metazoa; Chordata; Mammalia; Primates; Hominidae.
AAAUCAUCUGGACCCAGGGAGGUCAAGGCAGCAGUGAGCCUUGAUUGUGGCCACUGCACUCCAGCCUGGGCAACAGAA